CCCUAGUAACUGCGAGUGAAGCGGGAAAAGCUCAAAUUUAAAAUCUGGCAGCCUUUGGUUGUCCGAGUUGUAACCUAGAGAAGUGUUAUCCGUGUUGGACCGUGUUUAAGUCUCCUGGAAUGGAGCGUCAUAGAGGGUGAGAAUCCCGUCUUUGACACGGACUGCCAAUGCAUUGUGAUGCGCUCUCAAAGAGUCGAGUUGUUUGGGAAUGCAGCUCAAAAUGGGUGGUAAAUUCCAUCUAAAGCUAAAUAUUGGCGAGAGACCGAUAGCGAACAAGUACCGUGAGGGAAAGAUGAAAAGAACUUUGGAAAGAGAGUUAAACAGUACGUGAAAUUGCUGAAAGGGAAACGCUUGAAGUCAGUCGCGUUGGCCAGGAAUCAACCUUGCUUCUGCUGGGUGUACUUUCUGGUUGACGGGUCAGCAUCAAUUUUGAUUGUUGGAGAAAGUUCAGAGGAAUGUGGCAUCUUCGGAUGUGUUAUAGCCUUUGUUCGUAUACAACAGUUGGGAUUGAGGAACUCAGCACGCCGAAAGGCCGGGUUUCGACCACGUUCGUGCUUAGGAUGCUGGCAUAAUGGCUUUAAUCGACCCGUCUUGAAACACGGACCAAGGAGUCUAACAUGCCUGCGAGUGUUUGGGUGGAAAACCCGAGCGCGUAAUGAAAGUGAAAGUUGAGAUCCCUGUCGCGGGGAGCAUCGACGCCCGGACCAGACCUCUUGUGACGGUUCCGCGGUAGAGCAUGUAUGUUGGGACCC
Molecule: ribosomal RNA, 752 nt
Filed under: Conocybe aporos
Lineage: Eukaryota; Fungi; Basidiomycota; Agaricomycetes; Agaricales; Bolbitiaceae
Description: eukaryotic LSU rRNA
Rfam family: Eukaryotic large subunit ribosomal RNA
Source: RNAcentral